This 406-nucleotide ribosomal RNA is filed under the name uncultured bacterium. RNAcentral describes it as "partial 16S ribosomal RNA". It matches the Rfam family "Bacterial small subunit ribosomal RNA", at positions 30 to 526 of the family's 1533-position model. The record is from RNAcentral.
AUUGAACGCUGGCGGCAGGCCUAACACAUGCAAGUCGAACGAGUGGCGGACGGGUGAGUAAUGUCUGGGAAACUGCCUGAUGGAGGGGGAUAACUACGGGAAACGGUAGCUAAUACCGCAUACCAUCGGAUGUGCCCAGAUGGGAUUAGCUAGAAGGUGGGGUAAAGGCUCACCAAGGCGACGAUCCCUAGCUGGUCUGAGAGGAUGACCUGCCCCACUGGAAAUGUGACACUGUCCAGACUCCUACGGUAGGGAGCAGUGGGGAAUAUUGCACUAUGGGCGCAGGCCUGACGCAGCCAUGCCGCGUGUAUGAAGAAGGACUUCGGUUUGUAAAGUACUUUCAGUUGGGAGGCGUAACCCGGAGAAGAAGCACCGGCUAACGCCGUGCCAGCAGCCGCGGUAAUAC